AAUAUCCGUUAUGGAAAAUUCAUCAUUAAAAUUGUAAUAUUUAAAUAAUAUUAUUAAGAAUAAUGUGCAUUUUUUCCAUAUAAGGACAUUGUAAUCUAUUAGCAUAUCCCAAAUUUAUCAUAAAAUAUAACUUAUAGUUUAUUCCAAUUAAAUUGCUUGCAUUUUAACACAGAAUAAAUGUUAUUAAUUUGAUAAAGUGCUGAUAGAUUUAUAUUAUUACAGAGCGUUAAUUUUUCGGAAUUAUAUAAUGGCAUAAUUAUCAUUGAUUUUUGUGUUUAUUAUAUGCUCUUGUAUGAUUAACAAUGCGAAAGAUUCAGGAUACCUUCGGGACCCGUCUUGAAACACGGACCAAGGAGUCUAACAUAUGUGCAAGUUAUUGGGAUGUAAACCUAAUAGCGUAAUUAACUUGACUAAUAAUGGGAUUAGUUUUUUAGCUAUUUAUAGCUAAUUAACACAAUCCCGGGGCGUUCUAUAUAGUUAUGUAUAAUGUAUAUUUAUAUUAUUUAUGCCUCUAACUGGAACGUACCUUGAGCAUAUAUGCUGUGACCCGAAAGAUGGUGAACUAUACUUGAUCAGGUUGAAGUCAGGGGAAACCCUGAUGGAAGACCGAAACAGUUCUGACGUGCAAAUCGAUUGUCAGAAUUGAGUAUAGGGGCGAAAGACCAAUCGAACCAUCUAGUAGCUGGUUCCUUCCGAAGUUUCCCUCAGGAUAGCUGGUGCAUUUUAAUAUUAUAUAAAAUAAUCUUAUCUGGUAAAGCGAAUGAUUAGAGGCCUUAGGGUCGAAACGAUCUUAACCUAUUCUCAAACUUUAAAUGGGUAAGAACCUUAACUUUCUUGAUAUGAAGUUCAAGGUUAUGAUAUAAUGUGCCCAGUGGGCCACUUUUGGUAAGCAGAACUGGCGCUGUGGGAUGAACCAAACGUAAUGUUACGGUGCCCAAAUUAACAACUCAUGCAGAUACCAUGAAAGGCGUUGGUUGCUUAAAACAGCAGGACGGUGAUCAUGGAAGUCGAAAUCCGCUAAGGAGUGUGUAACAACUCACCUGCCGAAGCAACUAGCCCUUAAAAUGGAUGGCGCUUAAGUUGUAUACCUAUACAUUACCGCUAAAGUAGAUGAUUUAUAUUACUUGUGAUAUAAAUUUUGAAACUUUAGUGAGUAGGAAGGUACAAUGGUAUGCGUAGAAGUGUUUGGCGUAAGCCUGCAUGGAGCUGCCAUUGGUACAGAUCUUGGUGGUAGUAGCAAAUAAUCGAAUGAGACCUUGGAGGACUGAAGUGGAGAAGGGUUUCGUGUGAACAGUGGUUGAUCACGAGUUAGUCGGUCCUAAGUUCAAGGCGAAAGCCGAAAAUUUUCAAGUAAAACAAAAAUGCCUAACUAUAUAAACAAAGCGAAUAUAAUACACUUGAAUAAUUUUGAACGAAAGGGAAUACGGUUCCAAUUCCGUAACCUGUUGAGUAUCCGUUUGUUAUUAAAUAUGGGCCUCGUGCUCAUCCUGGCAACAGGAACGACCAUAAAGAAGCCGUCGAGAGAUAUCGGAAGAGUUUUCUUUUCUGUUUUAUAGCCGUACUACCAUGGAAGUCUUUCGCAGAGAGAUAUGGUAGAUGGGCUAGAAGAGCAUGACAUAUACUGUUGUGUCGAUAUUUUCUCCUCGGACCUUGAAAAUUUAUGGUGGGGACACGCAAACUUCUCAACAGGCCGUACCAAUAUCCGCAGCUGGUCUCCAAGGUGAAGAGUCUCUAGUCGAUAGAAUAAUGUAGGUAAGGGAAGUCGGCAAAUUAGAUCCGUAACUUCGGGAUAAGGAUUGGCUCUGAAGAUUGAGAUAGUCGGGCUUGAUUGGGAAACAAUAACAUGGUUUAUGUGCUCGUUCUGGGUAAAUAGAGUUUCUAGCAUUUAUGUUAGUUACUUGUUCCCCGGAUAGUUUAGUUACGUAGCCAAUUGUGGAACUUUCUUGCUAAAAUUUUUAAGAAUACUAUUUGGGUUAAACCAAUUAGUUCUUAUCAAUUAUAACGAUUAUCAAUUAACAAUCAAUUCAGAACUGGCACGGACUUGGGGAAUCCGACUGUCUAAUUAAAACAAAGCAUUGUGAUGGCCCUAGCGGGUGUUGACACAAUGUGAUUUCUGCCCAGUGCUCUGAAUGUCAAAGUGAAGAAAUUCAAGUAAGCGCGGGUCAACGGCGGGAGUAACUAUGACUCUUAGGGGAUCAGGGGUAAUUGCGAGCAGAGGGGGAGUAUUUUUCUGUAAUUCGUAAGUCAUAUCAUAUGGUGUGCGGAAGGGGAAUUUUACUCUGUAACUCACAAGUCUCUCCUUUACUCAAGUCGACUCAAAACCUCCUCGUGGUGGUCCCCGGUAAUGCUAAACUUGUUUAGCAGCUAAUUUGAGCGGCAAAACUUUUCCGAUGGGUUGGUUCCCCAGAGGAAAUUUAUUCAUAUUGGAACUACAAAUAGAAAUAACGAGCCUCGGAGCAAUUUACGCAAUCUGAUGACGACCCGACCCUCCGUGGACAUCUUCCCGGAGGACCAAUAUGAACCAAACGCAGCGGCUACUCUAUCUAGGGUACCCUGCACAGUAUGUGGCCGGUCCUUUAACAGCAAGAGAGGACUCGGUGUUCACAUGCGAUCUCGGCACCCAGACGAACUUGAUGAAGAACGUCGACGUGUCGAUAUAAAGGCAAGGUGGAGUGAGGAAGAGAAGUGGAUGAUGGCGAGAAAGGAGGUUGAGCUCACAGCAAAUGGACAUAAACACAUAAACAAGCAACUAGCGGUGUAUUUUGCAAACCGCAGCGUCGAAGCCAUCAAAAAGCUAAGACAAAGGGGCGAUUAUAAGGAGAAAAUAGAGCAGAUAAGAAGGCAAUCAGCUCUCGUCCCGGAAGUUGCAAAUCUAACCAUAAGGCGCCGCCCUAGUAGAAGUGAGCAAAACCACCAAGUAACAACAUCAGAAACAACUCCAAUCACACCCUUCGAACAGUCGAACAGGGAAAUUUUGCGGACACUGCGUGGGUAUAGCCCCGUAGAAUGCCAUUCCAAAUGGAGAGCCCAAGAGCUACAAACGAUCAUUGACAGGGCAGAGCUCGAGGGAAAGGAAACCACUCUCCAAUGCUUAUCGCUAUAUCUCCUAGGAAUUUUUCCGGCACAGGGUGUACGUCACACUCUGACGAGACCUCCUCGGAGGCCUCGA
Molecule: ribosomal RNA, 3169 nt
Filed under: Drosophila sechellia
Lineage: Eukaryota; Metazoa; Arthropoda; Insecta; Diptera; Drosophilidae
Description: eukaryotic LSU rRNA
Rfam family: Eukaryotic large subunit ribosomal RNA (bases 1-2343)
Source: RNAcentral